GACGAACCGAGCGAACGUUGUUCGGAAUCACUGGGCUUAAAGGGCGCGUAGGCGGCUUACCAAGUCAGGGGUGAAAUGCCGAGGCUCAACCUCGGAACUGCCUUUGAUACUGGCGAUCUUAGAGUCCGGGAGAGGUGAGUGGAACUCCGAGUGUAGAGGUGAAAUUCGUAGAUAUUCGGAAGAACACCAGUGGCGAAGGCGGCUCACUGGCCCGGUACUGACGCUCAGGUGCGAAAGCGUGGGGAGCAAACAGG
Molecule: ribosomal RNA, 254 nt
Filed under: uncultured bacterium
Lineage: Bacteria
Description: partial 16S ribosomal RNA
Rfam family: Bacterial small subunit ribosomal RNA
Source: RNAcentral